RNAcentral lists this ribosomal RNA (931 nucleotides) under Cortinarius perelegans. Its description in RNAcentral is "partial large subunit ribosomal RNA". It matches the Rfam family "Eukaryotic large subunit ribosomal RNA", at positions 39 to 954 of the family's 3401-position model. The record is from RNAcentral. Lineage: Eukaryota; Fungi; Basidiomycota; Agaricomycetes; Agaricales; Cortinariaceae.
CAUAUCAAUAAGCGGAGGAAAAGAAACUAACAAGGAUUCCCCUAGUAACUGCGAGUGAAGAGGGAAAAGCUCAAAUUUAAAAUCUGUCAGUCUUUGGCUGUCCGAGUUGUAAUCUAGAGAAGUGUUAUCCGCGCUGGACCGUGUACAAGUCUCCUGGAAUGGAGCGUCAUAGAGGGUGAGAAUCCCGUCUUUGACACGGACUACCAGGGCUUUGUGAUGCGCUCUCAAAGAGUCGAGUUGUUUGGGAAUGCAGCUCAAAAUGGGUGGUAAAUUCCAUCUAAAGCUAAAUAUUGGCGAGAGACCGAUAGCGAACAAGUACCGUGAGGGAAAGAUGAAAAGAACUUUGGAAAGAGAGUUAAACAGUACGUGAAAUUGCUGAAAGGGAAACGCUUGAAGUCAGUCGCGUUGUCCAGGGAUCAACCUUGCUUUUGCUUGGUGUACUUUCUGGUUGGACGGGUCAGCAUCAAUUUUGACUAUUGGAGAAAGAUUAGGGGAAUGUGGCAUCUUCGGAUGUGUUAUAGCCCUUGGUUGUAUACAAUGGUUAGGAUUGAGGAACUCAGCACGCCGCAAGGCCGGGUUUUUAACCACGUACGUGCUUAGGAUGCUGGCAUAAUGGCUUUAAUCGACCCGUCUUGAAACACGGACCAAGGAGUCUAACAUACCUGCGAGUGUUUGGGUGGAAAAACCCGAGCGCGUAAUGAAAGUGAAAGUUGAGAUCCCUGUCAUGGGGAGCAUCGACGCCCGGACCAGAUCUUUUGUGACGGUUCCGCGGUAGAGCAUGUAUGUUGGGACCCGAAAGAUGGUGAACUAUGCCUGAAUAGGGUGAAGCCAGAGGAAACUCUGGUGGAGGCUCGUAGCGAUUCUGACGUGCAAAUCGAUCGUCAAAUUUGGGUAUAGGGGCGAAAGACUAAUCGAACCAUCUAGUAGCUGG